AUUAAAGUUGUUGCAGUUAAAAAGCUCGUAGUUGGACUUGUGUGCGCUGUCCGCGGAUGGCCUGCGCCCAAAAGGGCGUUUCGGUUCGGCCCCGGUGGCGCCUUGAAAUCUGCAGCUGGGGGGACGUUGGCCUUAACUGGUCGGCGACCGCACGCCGGCUGCUCGGUUACUGUGAGAAAAUUAGAGGGUUCAAGGCAGGCAUUGGGUGCAAUUGAAUACAUUAGCAUGGAAUAAUAAAAUAUGGCUCCUGCCGUAUUUUGUUGGUUUUGACUGGUGGGAGUAAUGAUUGAUAGGGACGGUUGGGGGUGCUAGUAUUGAGCGGCCAGAGGUGAAAUUCAUGGAUUCGCUCAAGACUAACUUAUGCGAAAGCAUUCACCAAGGACGUCCUCUUUAAUCAAGAACGAAAGUUGGGGGAUCGAAGACGAUCGGAUACCGUCGUAGUCUCAACCAUAAACUAUGUCGACUUGGGAUCGGCGGUAGUUUUUUCAUUAAGACACUGUCGGGACCACGGGAGAAAUCAAAGUGUCUGGACUCUGGGGGAAGUAUGGUCGCAAGGCUGAAACUUGAAGGAAUUGACGGAAGGGCACCACCAGGAGUGGAGCCUGCGGCUUAAUUUGACCCAACACGGGGAAACUUACCAGGUCCAGAGAUAUAGAGGAUUGACAGAUUGAAGCUCUUUCUUGAUCACCUCGGUGGUGGUGCAUGGCCGUUCUUAGUUGGUGGAGUGAUUUGCCUGGUUAAUUCCGUUAACGAACGAGACCUCAGCCUGCUAGUGUAGUCGGCUGGAUUGCCUUUGGCGAUCCGUGAUUUCGACUUCUUAGAGGGACAAUCGACGCGCAGUCGAUGGAAGUUUGAGGCAAUAACAGGUCUGUGAUGCCCUUAGAUGUUCUGGGCCGCACGCGCGCUACACUGCUGGGCUCAGCGAGUUUUACUUGGCCGAGAGGCCCGGUCAAUCUUGUGAAAUCCCAGCGUGCUUGGGCUCGCCUCCUGCAACUGGAGGCGCCAACGAGGAAUUCCUAGUAGACGCAGGUCAUCAACCUGCAUCGAUUACGUCCCUGCCCUUUGUACACACCGCCCGUCGUUCCAUAAGAGUGAGGCAUCCGGUGAAUUCUCGGGAGAGCCUGGGCGUGGCCAGCAAUGGUCUGCUCGGGUUUGAACUUGCAUAAACUUGGUGCCUAUGAUUAGGG
This 1187-nucleotide ribosomal RNA is filed under the name metagenome. RNAcentral's name for it is "SSU rRNA". It matches the Rfam family "Eukaryotic small subunit ribosomal RNA", at positions 603 to 1783 of the family's 1831-position model. The record is from RNAcentral.